This 3706-nucleotide long non-coding RNA is filed under the name Sus scrofa (pig). Its description in RNAcentral is "lncRNA (ENSSSCG00040038643.1)". The record is from RNAcentral. Lineage: Eukaryota; Metazoa; Chordata; Mammalia; Artiodactyla; Suidae.
UUUUUUUUUUUUUUUUGCCAGAAUUUGAGAGUGAUUCACAUUACUGUCAAUUACAUGCCCUUAUUAUGUAUUACAACCACCAGGCAGCUGUCCAGGAAAACACAAGUCUGAAAAUGCUUCUGUUUUAAGAAAGUUAAAUUCACAGUUGCUCCCCAUGUGGACGAGUGUGGCAGAAGCUUCCACUUUCUUGCCAAGGAACAGAGUAAAGCCUUGCCUCCUUCACCUGGAUUCAGGAGCCACUCAGAGAUCCUGAGCUGUUGAUAUGAAUGCCCAGAUGCAGGUCUGGGUUUUGGUUUCUAAAUAGUCUUUUUUUUUUUUUCAUUUCGGCUUGUGUUACAAAACACGGACUCGUGUUAUAAAACAGUAUUUCUAGUUAUGAGUCACAGCAGUGCCUGUGUGUUACCAAAGAGGCCUGAAUAGAGAAACUGUUCACCUUUCUCUUUCCCCAAAGUCAGAGUCUUUGACAGUUUAGGGCUUUGAGCUCUGUUUACCAGGCUGGUCUCUUUGUCGCCAGAUUCCUUCAGAUGUCUCUUUCUUGACGUCUAGAUGACGCUACAGCUAAAAAUGCUCCAUUUGCUAUCAGGCUGACAUACAAUUAAGGAAAUUCAGCUUUUUGUUUUUUUUUCUUUUUCUUUCUUUUUUUUUUUUUUCUUUUUUUUUCUUUUUAAGGCCGCAUUCAUGGCAUGUGGAGGUUCCCAGGCUAGGGGUCUAAUCAUAGCUACAGCCACCAGCCUACACCACAGACAUAGAAACACCAGAUCCGAGUCGCAUCUUCGAACUGUACCACAGCUCGUGGCAAUGCAGGAUCCUUAACCCAUUGAGCAAGGCCAGGGAUUGAACCCACAACCUUAUGGUUCCUAGUCGGAUUCAUUUCUGCUGCACCAUGAGGGGAACUCCUAACCAAGUAUUUUUAAAGCAUACAGUUAAAGUUGCCUGAAUUGCUGACUGAUUUGAGAAAACUAUCACUUGAUGUUUUUUCAGUUGUGAGUCUUUAAAUUUGUGUCUGAUUCACAGACUAGGAUAUUUCAAAUAGGGGAAUAUUUUGUAGUGAAUGAAAGUGGCCUUCACAUUAUCUGUGUCCAGAUACACUGUAUCUAAGUAAUGUUAGUGCCUAAAAGAAGUAUUUAAAAGACAAAGGAUUAUGAAUUGGGUGAAAUCAGUUUCACCUCUCCUCUUGUUUAGAUGCUGGCUCGAGCUAAGACUGAAAAAGAAUUUUUAGAUGACUGAAGAAAUUUUUAUAUGGACUGCUAUUUUAUACGGUAUUGAGGAAUUUUUUUAUAUUGUCAGGUGUUGAAUGGCAUUGUAGGUUUUUUUUUUUUUAAAUCUUCAUCAGUUAGACAUGAAUACUGAAAUUGUUAUGGGUGAAAUGACAAGAUAUCUGAGAUUUAUUUUAAAAUGCUCCAGAAAACAAAAAGUACAUUGGGGAUACGGUGAAACCAGAGUAACACAAUUUUUACCAGGGGGGAAGGAAGACUACAUGGAGGUGUGUUAUACUAUUCACUUUUUUAAUAACCUUAAAAGUUUUUUACUCUGUUACCUUUUUCCCCUUCUUAUCUGUAAUUUAUAAGAUGGUUAUUUUGACAUUGGAGGUUUGACCACCUUAGAUAAUUAGUAUUGAAUGAAAAAGAGGUGACAUGGAUGAGCUUAUCAAACUCAGGAAGCUGAUAAUUAUCUCUUAAAACCCAUGUAUUGCUCUAAAAAUUAUGCAUGCAGUGUUAGCAUGCAUAUUAAGAAAAUUUUCCUUUUAUAAUAAGGUUCCCUCACCAUCCUUUCAGAUAGGAAAAGGGUAUGAAUAUUAGUUGCUCUGUUUUGAAAUCUUUUCAGUGUUGUAGUCAUAAAGGCCCAGAUUUGAGAGUUGAAUGGAUCAGAGAAUUUACCUGGUGGUCCCCACUUCCCAUCUUUGCAAGGAGGACAGUUUCUCAGGAAGGCAAAAAGUGUCUUGUUCAAAGUCAGUUCCAGGUGCUUUUUCAGAAGUAGAUUAAAAAAAUUGUAUCUUUAUAUUUUAUAUUUACAGGUUUUUCCAAUAUAAUAUUUAAUUAGAGACACCCCCCCCAAAAAAAAAAGAAGAAGUAGACUAACAAGGAACUACUGUAUAGCCCAGGGAAAUCUACUCAAUAUUCUGUAAUAGCUUACAUGGGAAAAGAAUCUGAAAAAUAAUGAAUAUGUUUAUAUGUAUAACUGAUUUACUCUGCUGUAUACCUGAAACUAAUGCAACUAUACUCAAAGAACAAUUUUUUUUAAGUGGUCCAUAUAUACAAUGGAAUAUUACUCAGCCAUUCAAAAGAAUGAUGUAGUGCCAUUUGCAGCCACAUGGAUGGACCUAAAGAUUGUCAUACUAAGUGAAGUCAGACAGGGAAAGACAAACAUCCUAUAAUAUUGCUUAUAUGUGAAAUCUAAAAAAAGGAUACAAAUGAACUUAUUUGCAGAAUAGACUCACAGACUUUGAAAAAAGCUUAUAGUUACCUAAGGGAACAGGUGCAGGAGGAGGGAUAGACAGGGGGUCUGGAAUUGGCAUAUGCACAUUGUGGUAUAUGGAAUGAGGACCUGCUGUAUAGCACAGAGAACUCUACCUAAUAUUCAAUGCUAAAAUGUAUGGGGAAAGAAUCUGAAAAAGAAUGGAUGUGUGUAUAGAUAUCACUAAAUCACUUUGUUGUACAGCAGAAAUUAUCACAACAUUGUAAAUCAACUAUACAUCAAUACAACUUAAAAAGAAUUUUUUUUUUUUAAAGACCGGAACCCUUGGAAACCAAGUACCCUUUUUGACUCUUAUCAUACUGCCUCAAUCUUGUCCUUUAAAAUACUCAUUAACAAUCUCCUCUCUGGGGAUCAAAGCAGUUUUCUAAAUCCAGACCAGUGACUGCGUGUCAGAUGUUCAUUGCGGGUAGUGUGGCCCCAAAUUAUCUUUUCUUUUCUUGAACACCAUUUCCAAGCUGUGUGAUAAGUCCCAGAAGUGAGCAUGUUUAAUUCUGUUCUUGUAAAUGCUCUGCAGCAGGUUUGCAGCCUGUUCCUCCUUCUCUGGCUUCUGUAGACUUUCCAUCAGGGAUGGGUCAAUAUGCUCAAAUGACAGUCCAGGCUGACAGGAAGGUACACUUGGCCAAGCAAUUCCACAAAGACCAUCAGCCUCUGCCACAAAGCCUCUCCCAAGGCCUUUUGUCAUUCAAGCAGAAAUUCCAAACAUCACAGUUGAAAUAGGCAUGUUUUUUUCUACAUGGAUCCUGUUUAGCAUUUGUGGCCAAAAUGUUUGAAGCACAAAUUUUCUUGCUAAAUGUUAUCUUCUUUGCGUUGUACUUAAUAGUAGCUCAUUGGAAUAAAGUAAGGGAAUGGAUUGGCAUUUAUAAAAUAAUUUUUACCCAGUCUUUUCAAGAGUUUUACAAAGAGCAAUGCUCUGAUUCCUAAAAACAUAAUUAUACAAAUAGAUAGGCAAACAGAACUAGAGACAGAAGGACUUUGCCAUGCUGGCAUGAUCAGUGAGGAACCAGCCACAGGACUUGUGGAUUCAUUCAGGAAUUGCCCUGACUUACUGACCUCCUCAGGGGUUGAAGGCAAUGGGAGACAUAGAAAGAAAAGAUUGAAUGGCUCUCACUCCUCCCACCUCCUUUUUUGGAGGAGGCAGGGAUACAGAAACAGAACAGUAUACAACUGCAUAAUCAAAGUGCUUUGGAUACAAGUGCUAAGGAACCAGAUGACAUAGAACUGCCCCCCGCCC